AUGCAUUUCGUAGAACACCUGCUAUGCGCCCCCACGGCGAUGGUGACCAAGUCGACACGACUAGUGAGCAAGCCGGACACGCCUGAAGUCGCUGGUCUUCUCAUCGGCGAUGUCCUAUGGGUCAGGGCGUUCGACAGGAGGUCACCAGCAGCGUCAAGGACCUCGCCGCGCCGCUGCCCAAGGCCGUGUAGUGUCAAGGACCGCCAGCCCUAUCCAGACCCCCAAAAUAGAGCCAGGGCUUUGCCUCCUCCUCCUCCAAGAAAGAAAGUUAGGGUUCGUGCCUCUCACCGGCGCCGGCGCAGGUCCGCCUCGUCUCCGGUGGCCCUAGGGCCAUGGAGGCGCGGUGGAUCCUGGCAAGGGCCUGCGGGAGGGCUCCGUUUUUAG
RNAcentral lists this ribosomal RNA (384 nucleotides) under Triticum aestivum (bread wheat). RNAcentral describes it as "partial small subunit ribosomal RNA". The record is from RNAcentral. Lineage: Eukaryota; Viridiplantae; Streptophyta; Magnoliopsida; Poales; Poaceae.